ACCCUGGGAAUCAAGCCUUCCAUUAUGUCUGCCAGAGACUUGGAGUCCGUCACAUCAUCACUGAGCCCAAAGCGAGGAUGCCAUGAGGAAAGCUGGCAUGGCGCACAGUAAAUCCAGCAAUGAUACGGAGAGCCAUGUGUUCCUGAAGGCCAAGCCCCGGGAUCCAGGUGCCCCUGUAAGAAGCAGAGGUUCCAGCCAACGAGGACACCAUCCAGGCUGCCGAAAAUGCUCUCUACCAGCCAUGGAAGAUGGUAUGCAGAUCCUGAAACCGUGUGCGGCGAGGCUGCAGGCAGGCCCAGCACCCGGCUCUAGUCCUGCACUGCCUGCUGCCCAGCUCCCUCCGAGGAGGCCACUCCCUGGCUGAGACCCACGGGAUCAGCCCUGCGCCCAAAGGAACCCUGGUGUGAUGGUGCCAAUGAGAAGAGAAGCUUUGGAUUCUUCCAGUGUGGUACAUGGCAUACCAAGCAGCGUUGCUUUAGAU
RNAcentral lists this long non-coding RNA (481 nucleotides) under Macaca fascicularis (crab-eating macaque). RNAcentral describes it as "lncRNA (ENSMFAG00000054738.1)". Lineage: Eukaryota; Metazoa; Chordata; Mammalia; Primates; Cercopithecidae. The record is from RNAcentral.